AUUGAACGCUGGCGGCAGGCUUAACACAUGCAAGUCGAGCGGAGAUGAGGUGCUUGCACCUUAUCUUAGCGGCGGACGGGUGAGUAAUGCUUAGGAAUCUGCCAUUUAGUGGGGGACAACAUUCCGAAAGGAAUGCUAAUACCGCAUACGUCCUACGGGAGAAAGCAGGGGAUCUUCGGACCUUGCGCUAAAUGAUGAGCCUAAGUCGGAUUAGCUAGUUGGUGGGGUAAAGGCCUACCAAGGCGACGAUCUGUAGCGGGUCUGAGAGGAUGAUCCGCCACACUGGGACUGAGACACGGCCCAGACUCCUACGGGAGGCAGCAGUGGGGAAUAUUGGACAAUGGGGGGAACCCUGAUCCAGCCAUGCCGCGGGUGUGAAGAAGGCCUUAUGGUUGUAAAGCACUUUAAGCGAGGAGGAGGCUACUGAGACUAAUACUCUUGGAUAGUGGACGUUACUCGCAGAAUAAGCACCGGCUAACUCUGUG
RNAcentral lists this ribosomal RNA (485 nucleotides) under uncultured bacterium. RNAcentral's name for it is "partial 16S ribosomal RNA". It matches the Rfam family "Bacterial small subunit ribosomal RNA", at positions 30 to 507 of the family's 1533-position model. The record is from RNAcentral.